RNAcentral lists this long non-coding RNA (1430 nucleotides) under Papio anubis (olive baboon). RNAcentral describes it as "lncRNA (ENSPANG00000049836.1)". The record is from RNAcentral. Lineage: Eukaryota; Metazoa; Chordata; Mammalia; Primates; Cercopithecidae.
AUGGAGGUGUGCCAGGACCAGGGUACUCAGAAGGGUGGGAAGCUCACAGACCACCUUGCUUUGAGUGCCUCUCAGCCGCUCUCUUGCUCUGUGAUUUUAAGGAAGUCCUUGAACCUCUCUGAGCCUGCUUUUUCCAUCUGCAGAUCGGUGAUAAUGAAACCUACCUUGCUGUUUCACGUUGAGGAAUCACUGCGGGAAGAGACAGAAUCCACCGUGUUGCCCAGGCUGGCCUCAAACUCCUGGACUGAAGGAAUCCUCCCACUUCAGCCUCCCAAGUAGCAGGACUACAGGUGUGCACCAUCAAGCCCGACCAUCACAAUUUUCUAAUAAAUUCCCAGGCUGAUAUAAUUAUUGAACGUGAAAGAGUAAAUACAGAUAGGUGACAAAACCAAAUUGGAGGUUGAGAUUAUCUUGCCCAGUCCAGAUCCUGCUUUCAAACAAGAUUUGGGAUAUUGUCUCAGAGAAUUCCCAACAAACAUAGAAUGAAAUAAAAUCCAGAUGAGAGAAACAAAUAAAGAGCUAUGAGAAAGCAAACGAGGAGGUGGUCAUGUCUGUGAGAAAGUUCUGAGAACACUUUCACAGAGAAGAUAAUAGUGGAGCAAGGGGCAUGGACCCCACUGGUUCUGCCUUACGUGGUCCCAGAAGCAGCCUAGCUUAACAAUUCGUAGAUUCUCAGUAAGAAGUUGUUGAAUUUAUAAUGGAAGGAAGGAUGAAGAGAUAAGAGCUAAAGUUGUACUCUUAGAAAAUAUCUAUAUCUAGAGGGCAAAAGAAGGAAAAGGAAGACAACAAGAAGAGGAAAGUAAAUAGAAAACUAGGCAUAGUAUGAAGGGAUGUCAAAGAGAAUUUGGUGGGCAGUAUUUUCUAACGCUGUAGAAUAAUGCUACUUAAAGUACGGUCCUCAGAUGAGUAACGUAAGUAUUAACUAGGAACCUGCUGAAAAUACAAAUCCUUGGCCCAUCCUAGACCUACUAUAUCAGAGUCUCUUGGAGUGGGGGCGCAGAAUCUGUGUUUAAUGAGCUCUCAAAGUGAUCUUUAUGCAUAUUAAAGUUUAAGAAAAAACGUGGCAUAUUUCUGGAAGAUAAGUUGCUACUGACAGAACUCAAGUUUCUGAUUCUUAGAACCAAAUUCUUGCAAUCUCCUAGGAUCUUCCCAGAAUUAAGUCGCAGGGAAAUUACUGUAUUAAAUUGCUAAUGUAUAAAUGGUUCAAGGUAAAUAGCUUAUUGCAUGCUUUAUUUUAAAAUCUUUCUUUCAUUGUAAUGUCCCACUUCAGUUAGAGUGAAAAGGAAAACAGCAUUAAACUUCCUCAGUUAAUAAUACCUGAAAACCACUCUGGUAUAUUAUUAAACAACUCAGUUCACCUCCGUCAGCUACAGCCUCAAGAAAAAUUACAAAAUGUUUUGAAUUAAACAAAAAUGAAAAUACAACAUCUC